UUGACUUCGGAUCAGGUAGGAAUACCCGCUGAACUUAAGCAUAUCAAUAAGCGGAGGAAAAGAGG
Molecule: ribosomal RNA, 65 nt
Filed under: Ophiocordyceps nutans
Lineage: Eukaryota; Fungi; Ascomycota; Sordariomycetes; Hypocreales; Ophiocordycipitaceae
Description: partial 26S ribosomal RNA
Rfam family: Eukaryotic large subunit ribosomal RNA
Source: RNAcentral